CUUUGGAAGCUCAAAGCCGCACUGGAAACACAGUCUUUCAGGAUGUCUGAAAGGGAUAUACAGGGAGUCCACGGAGCCUCCCCUGCAAGCAUCAGUACAGAAGUCGAUGAUAAUCUGGAUGCAAGCCCAGGAGUGUGGAGUCCACUGACUCAGAAGACCUGCAUCUAAGGAAUUGGCUGUUCUUAUCCUUAAGAAUGAUGACUGUGUUUCCAAUUCCAGUAGACCCUUUGAUGCGUUCUGAAUAAAUAUUCCUUUUGGAAUUGAACUUCUAGAGCCCUUAACUUUGGCCCACUCUAGUUUUCUGUCUGUUUUUUUUUUUUUUAAUAUUUUUUUUUUGUAAAGAUAAGGUCUUGCUUUGUUGCCCAGGCUGGUCUUGAAUUCCUGGACUCAAGCAAUCCACCUGCCUUGGCCUCCCAAAGUGCUGGGAUUAUAGGUGUGAACCAUUGUGUCCGAUCGCUCUCUGGUUUUUCUAAUAUCAUGAUCCCAACUCUGUUCUUUAUGUAAAUUUCCCUGAUCACAUGGUUGUAUCUUGGCAUUUCAAAAUCCUUGACAGACUUUGUUUUGUUUGAAUUUUACAAUGAACUUACAUGACUAGGCACGGUCCCCAGUUCAGUUUUAUAGACAAGGAUUCUGUAGGUCAAGAAGUGAAACACAACCAAUAACAGCAGGUGACAGGAUUUAAACCUGGGUCACUUUACUUAUUUUUUUCUACUCUAUCAUUAUGUGAAUCUAUCCUACCUCUGCAAUGACAGAUGGCCCUAGAGCAAGAACACUUCCUUACAUCUGGUAUACAGUCAAAAAGUAAAAAUUCCACACAAAUAAAUAUGGAAAGAAUUUUUACCUGCUCCUAUAGCUUCCUUUCAGGGACCUGGCACCCACAAAUGUUGGGUAACAGAAAGAGGACUUAUGUAACUUAACUCAAAGCAGAAAAGUUACAGAGACUGUCUUAGCAUAAUAGAGCAUGGAGUGGUCAUGCUUGGAUGUGCAAACUGUCUGAUAGUCUUGCACAUGGCUUGACCCCGAAUUACACUAGUGGGGCAAGUUGCCUGGGGCAAAGCAAACUUAUUGGACCCAAAGCUCUCAUUUGAGAAUUUUGUUGACUAAAAGUUAUAAAAUAUCAGCAAUUUCAUAUGGUUCAGCCUAAUAUUUUAUCACUCUUCCUUUUUCUAUUCUAAAACAAUAAUUUUUAAUAACGUAAGCUAUACACAUACAUGCUUUAAACAUACAACACCCUGACUAUCAUAUAGUGGAUAUUUCAAGAAGUAAAUGUUCAGCAUGUCUUCA
This 1284-nucleotide long non-coding RNA is filed under the name Homo sapiens (human). RNAcentral's name for it is "non-protein coding LINC02217:34". The record is from RNAcentral. Lineage: Eukaryota; Metazoa; Chordata; Mammalia; Primates; Hominidae.